This 4108-nucleotide ribosomal RNA is filed under the name Triticum aestivum (bread wheat). RNAcentral's name for it is "partial small subunit ribosomal RNA". Lineage: Eukaryota; Viridiplantae; Streptophyta; Magnoliopsida; Poales; Poaceae. The record is from RNAcentral.
GAACGGCAGCGGCAUGCUGCGGUACCCGCCAGGAGAGCCAGGCCGGGCUCGAAAUGGUGGCCGCCAGGCCAGGUACCUUUCGCCUGGCGCCCUGACGAGCCAGGCCAGGCCAGGCCAGGCGGCCGCCGGCCAGGUCUGCCGCCGAGCCAGUCCCGGGCCUGGCCGGGCCUGGCACAGGUGGGACUUCAAACUCAACCGAACCAGCCCCAAAAGCGGACUAACAGGGAAUUAUUUAGUUCGUUAACACACCAAAAACCUGAUCAAAAAAAUAUUUAGCCUAGUUGAGAUAAGGAAAAUACUUUAAUGUCCUCGUGGGACGGGAAUUCUUUCAAGGGAUUUUUUUAUGUUUACAUACCAUCAAUGAAUAGUCUAUAAUGUGUCGGAAGCAAGUGGAGUACGCGGUCACUGCGUUGCCCACCUUACAUCAUUGAGUUUUAUAAAAUGUGGCACAACAGUCUGUUACCGCUUGGGCCGGCCGGCCGGCCGGUUUAAAACAAUAGAUUUUCCUUUACUGCACAUUCCCACAAUGAGUGUGGUAAUCCAAUCACCUGCGUUGCUGGUAGUAGUAAAGAUAUACUAAUAUCAACCACUCAACCCCGAGUUGAACGAGAUGUAGAUUGUGGGAAUGUGGGAAUUAGACCGACCUCGUUUUAGAUGCGAGACGGUAGUUGCAACUGCGACGUCCGAUCCCGUACGUCGGACCCCAACAACAGCAGCAGCUAGAAGGAGUUUCGUGUACUCGCGGUCUAGAGUAGCUAGUGACGAGUCGCCCGCGGACCAAGAUGUCCUAAUCAAUGUAUAGAACGAAGGCGACGCCAUACAUAAAUGUAGAGACAAAGAGAGAACUUAAAAAGUCUACUAGACACGUCUGAACACCGAUCGUUAUUUUAGAAGGAAAAGUUCUGAUUUAAUUUGUUUCUUAUACAAAGACAACGACUUACUAAAUUAAAAUUUAGCGAUUCCGGAGCAAUCAAAACUUCCUAAAAGCAUCCUUUUUGUAUCCUAGUUCCUAAGGUCUCCUUUUAAAGACGUUCUACGUAUCUUUUGCGCAUGUCUUUAAAAUAAUCCUUAUGAUAAAUAAAAGAUACAAAAACUCCUGCGCGACGGUAGACCAAUUUUGCUUCCCUCUUUUGCUGGGUCAGUUAAGGACUUCUGUCCUACGACGACAGAGACUCAUCCUUAGGAUGGGCCAGUUUGAGUCGUCCCCCAUUCCAUACUUGUUGAAGGCUAAUCUCUUACAUCUCGUACCGGGUAUCCUAAAGAAAUAGGGAUCACAUAGAGUCAGUGUGGUAAAAGUCAAAUCACCUAUGCUGCUGGUAGUAGCACAUCUUAACGUCGAGUCGAACGAGAUGAUGUUGGGUGUGAUUGAUUAGACCGACGUCCUGGUGAUGCGAGAUCGUAGCUUCGCAACUGCGACGUCGGACCCCAGUAGCAGCAGAAGGAGUUUUGAGUCCGUCCGGCGCCGCUAGGUUUCGAGCGGCUAGAGACGACAGACGAGUGACCGGCCGUCCACAACGUGGCCCACAACUAACACUUACCUAUCGCUGUAAACAUAGUCUGUGUUUCAACUGGACCUCGCCUACGACGAACUACUUUCAUGUCUCGGUUGCGCGGACCGCAAUAGCGAAAAUCUUCUGUAGUGUUUGACAAAGAGACUACUACUCGUUUAACCGUCGCCACCCAAGCGGUACCAAAUAUUCCCUUACCACCCUUUUCCCUACCAGCGACACUUCUUCGACAGGUUGUGUAAACCACACGUACUCUUAUUUAAGAUAUUUCUCCAACUCACGGAUUACUUCCAGUUCGUGUUUUUGUAUCACGCAAAGAACCCUAUAACAAGGCUGUGCGUUCCCUCUUGACGUUUAAUGCUUCCCUUCAAACAGUACCGUCUCGACGCUUUAACCAACGAUACAAAACUCAUACAUUGCUUACCUUCGGAGCUAUUCAUAUAAUGACUGCGUAUAGCGCCUGAACUUACCUCCCUCGCGAUAUUAUAAUAGUUCCCUUAUACACUCCCGAAUGAAGUAGAAGUGCUCUUUGCGUAAGAGGUGAAUCUGGACUUCGGACCAUUAUAUAACCAUCUACUAGUGUACCAUGGGUUUUAACGACUAAAACCAGAUAGUUCCACGGAACUAUUUCUCGUUUGGGCCCGAAGAUGGAACUUGGGUACACCUAGCUACCCUAUAAACCGUGGUCUUAGGAAGCCUCCCUUUGAUUGUAAGCGUAGUCUGUAUAUAUCAGAACCACAAUAGUAUUACCUUUAUUACUGUCCUCUCUUCCCUAUAGGUCUUCACCUACACCAAUUCUGAACCUACUUAGCCAACCUCCCUAGUCUAGUUUACCUCCGUGUGAACCUCGUUCACUCUCAUACGUAAUUCUAUCCCUACCUUACGUAACUGAGCCUGGGUUUCUUCUCUGGUCAACGUGCCGUACAUUUCCUAUCCGAACUAUUUUAGUGUUCAUGGUACCUUUGACCGUAGUCAUCAAGUAGUAAACUUGUUCAAUCAGAGGAUUUCCUUGUUACAACACUUCUCUUUCAACGUUUCGAAAGUAGACUCAUGGAACCUUUCCUGUAGUUCCUUGUACGACUUUGUCUUCUUGAACGUUUUAUAUAACCCCGUGGAUUUCUUCUAGUAACCGUCGUUUAAGCUCUUUUUCGAGGUCCACUAGUUACCAGUAAUACCCCUCGCGUUCUAUGUUUAGUUUUACAGUAGGGUGUAACCGUCGUUCCAGCUCUUCUUCAAGGUCCACUAGUCACCGGUAAUACCCCUCGCGUUCUAUGUUUCGCCUAACUGUAGGGUGUUCCACGUUCGUCAAGAUCGAGAUUGAGACCAAAGGAGAUGUUCGAUUUGUUAAACCUGUAGAAGUUGUGUUUUCGUGCGUCCUUGAUGCUCGCCAUGCCACCCGAAUGUAACCUCUUCUGUUCUUGACACUCUGAAAAGUCUUUCCCACUCGAGUUUGGUAAAAAUUUCCUAUUCUUAAACUAACCUUUUCCUGCGAUACCUCUUCAAAUGUCCCCUGAACAACUACUAAAACGUGGUCAGCAUCAUUCCUUCGACUAAUCACCAUGACACGGCCUCCUACCCCCUGAUAAAGGUUUACUUCAGCUCUAGGUUACGGCCCAGUAAGUGUUUUUGUAGCAAUCCGAGUAUCCAACAACGAACCUUCAACUGUGGGGCUACGAUCAGAUACUCAAAGAGAGAUCUCCAUCGGAGUCACUGUAAGAAGUGUCGUUGUUCCACAGAGAGUUGAACCUAAACGCAAAUUCAUAACGACGUUUUAGUAGUGUACCAAAUCGAAUAUACGUAAGUUACCGGUCAUCAUCGUUAUAGAAUGUACCAUUAAAAUCUGGUAGUUUAUAUGAGAACUUACUGUUGAAACUCGGAUUCUAGAGUCUGAAACCGUACAGUUCCUACCGACACGGUGUGUGACCUUAUCAACGACCACUGUACCAAAUAUACCUAGGCCAUAUGGAUGUUUGUCCGCACGAUUGGUUUGUUCCACUACACAUGUCGAAACCUCAAUGGUAGAACCUCGAACAAUGAUCCUUCUCCCGGUUGUCGAAUCAUUCCUAUAAGGAACUCUUAGUGUUCGUCCCAUUCUUUAGUUGGCUGAACAAACUAUUUGUUUAACGCCACUGCCUUCUAAACCUCGAAGAACUGUGAGACCGUUCUUAACGACACCUUACGGAGUUGGUACUACUCCUGGAUUCCGGCUGUUACCAUCUACAACGUUUCGCAGAUAGAUAUGACUUGGCUAGGGCAUUACACCCACCUGAUCAACUACGUAGAUGAUCACCUCAAACUUGUUGUACAUACAACACAGCUUAUUCGAAGACUAUCCGUGUUGAUAUACAAUUGCACACUACUAGCUUCACAACGACACUUUUUUAGAAACCUUACGGUUGACAUUUGACACUACUUUCGUGCGGGAGAGUCCAGAGACAGCCUAACAACCAAGGUGAAAGAUCCUUAACACCGAAGGUAAAAUAAGUAUGGUAGGUAGGAAUACUACGAUCACUAAUUAAGAACGUUACACAUGAUGAACUCACAACUGAGACAAGUAUCCCCCAAGUAAAACUACCUCAAGUAUAGUGUGACGGUGGUUG